Long non-coding RNA from Labeo rohita (rohu), 1495 nucleotides. RefSeq lists it as uncharacterized. Lineage: Eukaryota; Metazoa; Chordata; Actinopteri; Cypriniformes; Cyprinidae. The transcript is spliced from 3 exons. The record is from RefSeq and is a predicted model, not a curated record.
CAAAAACGGAAAGGAAUUUCCGCUCCGGAUCAGCGGAGUGCAAACAAACAGUAGAGAGGCACUGCACGGGAAGGAAGGAGGAGCGCGAGUGUAUUUGGGUCAGAAAACUCUCGGAUUUCAUCCAAAAAAUCUUAAUUUGUGUUCCGAUGACGAACAAAGGUCUUACGGGUUUGGAACAACAUGAUGCAGGACAAUAAAUGGGUUUGCCUUAGGCUAUGAGCAGGGACACAUUAAAGGACACUCCUGGGAAUCUAAUAGAGGUUUCAAGGCUGGGCUGGUUUUAGUGGAUCAAAACAGGAAGCAGAGACAUGAGGGUCUCUCUAGAGAACCGCAGUAAACAAACAGCCCCGGUGGGCCCUCCACCAGCAGCCCUACAAACAGGAAGCGCUGAUGAGAAAUUGUUCAGAUGAAACCGAGAUGCAAUGUUUUGAAGUCGUCAACAAGCCAUUAAGCCACUGGACAGAUUUCACUCUGAUUGAUUUGCCUUGCAGUACAUUAUUCAUGUGAUUUCAUGCAUACGUAUGGACAUGUAAAGAUGUCCAGGACACAUUAUCGAUCAGGAUAUAUACAUCUAUAAAACCAUUAUCACCCCAGAGGGUGUGUUGUCGGACCACCCUGGAACACAAAAGCCCAUUGUGAUGGUUCAUUUUCACCAGUGUUUUCACAAUCGUCACUUCUCUUUAACACCCUUCAAACUCCUGAACUCUUAAGUUACACUUUUAGAAAACUGCAGUUAUAUAUAGUGUUUCCUCAACUAAAGGCAAAGACCAUUUCAGCUUAGUUUUAGUCGGUUUUUGUCCAAAAACAUUGAUAAUAAUAAUGUUUCUUAAGCAGCAAAUCAGCAUAUUAGAAUGAUUUCUGAAGAAUCAUGUGAUACUGAAGACUGGAGUAAUGAUGCUGAAAAUCACAGAAAUAAAUAGCAUUUUAAAACAUAUUUAAAUAUAAAACAGUUAUUUUAAAUGGCAAAAAUAUUUCACAGUACUAUACUGUUUUUAAUGUAUUUUCGAUCAGAUAAAUGCAACAAACAACAAUAUUAGAAAAAAUAAAAUAAAUACAAAUAAACGUAUUUUAAACAUUAAAAAAUCCUAGUUCACCAAUAUAAUCAUAUAUUGUAUUAAACAAUAUUUGCCGACAUAUAUAUAUAUAUUUAAACAUACAUAAAAGAAAAUAGAAACUCAAUUUUAUUUAGAAAAAAAAAGAAAGCACAAUUUUAUUUUUUGUCCAUUAAAAUUGUCCAACAACAUGUUUAUUGGACUAAAAAUACAGGAAAAAAUAAUAAUAUUGUAAAAUAUUAUUACAAUUUAAAGUAAAUGUUUUCUAUUUUGGUCUAUUUUACAGCGUAAUUUAUUCCUGUGAUGCAAAGCUGAAUUUUUAGCAGCUGUUACUGCAGUCUUCAGUGUCACAUGUCAAAUAUUUUUGUGGAAAUAUAUUUUUAUAUUUUUUCCUCAAAAUAGUUUAAUAAACAGAAAGUUCAAAAGAACAGCAUUUAUUUGAA